Non-coding RNA from Octopus bimaculoides (California two-spot octopus), 632 nucleotides. NCBI's taxonomy places the organism in Eukaryota, Metazoa, Mollusca, Cephalopoda, Octopoda, Octopodidae. The record is from Rfam.
UACUAUAUCUCUUAUAGUUUCACGUAUUUAUGCGGAUGUGCGUUCAAGAAGUCCCGUGAUUUGGGGUUCAGCCCCAUUGCACGGAACCUUGGGCAAGUACCUUCUUCGAUUUUCCAACGGUAAACGAUGCCGACUAGCAUUCUGCCAGCAUUCACUUCGAUGACCCGGUGGGGUGCCUGCGCGAGAAACCAUAGUCGGUUCCGGGGGAAAUAUGGUUGCAAAACAGAAACUUAAGGGUAUUGACGGAAGGGCAUUACCAGGAGUGAAGCUUGAGGUUUAAUUUGACUCACUACGGGAUAACUCACCCUGAUAAAUGGAAACUGCCGUAUACAUACAAACAAACAAGCAUACCUACAUAUACACAACUAUAUACACCGUCUCUCUAUCUCUUCAUAUAAAAGCCUACGCACGCACACACACACACACACACACAUACACACACAUAUAUACGACGUUUCCGUCUACCAAAUCCACUCACAAGGCUUUGGUCGGCUCGAGGCUAUAGUAGAAGACACUUGCCCAAUGUGCUACUCAGUGGGACUGAACCUGGAACCAUGUGGUUGGUAAACAAUCUACUUACCACGCAGCCACUCCUGCGCCUAUAUGCAUAUAUAUAUAUAUAUAUAUAUAUA